CCUGCGCAGAGCCUGAAGUCGCGUUUUCUGUGUCUACUGCUGGCCCUUAAGCGGGUCGCCGAACUCUGCAGUAUUUCAGCGAGCCCACUAGAUGGAGGUAUUUUAGCAAAUUUCAACGGCCCAGCCUUUCCUGGACACCGAUUUCCAGAGAGAAAGACAAGUACGCGGACCCCGCAAAACCUCCGCGUGUUGACUCACAAGCAUCCGCAAGAUGAAGCACUGAGGCUCCACACAAGUAACAGCUGUCCGCCUGAUGUCUCAAAGAUGCACCAAGCUACCUUCUCCAAUCUGAAUACAGACUUGGAUCAAAAUGUCUUUCCACGCUGGCAAUAGUCAAGCCUGCUUUGCUAAGCAAGGACCGAUGGAGACACAGGCCUCUGGAGACUGUAAUGUUUUCUGCACUGGCAUGGCAAAUGACUUGCAAAAUAGCACGGCAUUAAGAGAGGUUUUUCUGCAACAGAGCUCUUGUGACAAGGUGAAGAGGCUAUAAUGCUCUGGGACUUGUGCUUCUUUUAAAAAAUAACCAUUUUUCUCUUUCUGAC
Long non-coding RNA from Callorhinus ursinus (northern fur seal), 542 nucleotides. RefSeq lists it as uncharacterized. Lineage: Eukaryota; Metazoa; Chordata; Mammalia; Carnivora; Otariidae. The record is from RefSeq and is a predicted model, not a curated record.